AAAUUGAAGAGUUUGAUCAUGGCUCAGAUUGAACGCUGGCGGCAGGCCUAACACAUGCAAGUCGAACGGUAACAGGAAGCAGCUUGCUGUUUCGCUGACGAGUGGCGGACGGGUGAGUAAUGUCUGGGAAACUGCCUGAUGGAGGGGGAUAACUACUGGAAACGGUAGCUAAUACCGCAUAACGUCGCAAGACCAAAGAGGGGGACCUUCGGGCCU
Molecule: ribosomal RNA, 216 nt
Filed under: Escherichia coli
Lineage: Bacteria; Pseudomonadati; Pseudomonadota; Gammaproteobacteria; Enterobacterales; Enterobacteriaceae
Also listed under: 2 other names
Description: partial 16S ribosomal RNA
Rfam family: Bacterial small subunit ribosomal RNA
Source: RNAcentral